ACAGUCACACAUUAGAUACCCCCGUAGUCCCAGCCGUAAACUAUGCUCGCUAGGUGUCAGGCAUGGCGCGACCGUGUCUGGUGCCGCAGGGAAGCCGUGAAGCGAGCCACCUGGGAAGUUCGGCCGCAAGGCUGAAACUUAAAGGAAUUGGCGGGGGAGCACAACAACGGGUGGAGCCUGCGGUUUAAUUGGACUCAACGCCGGACAACUCACCGGGGACGACAGCAAUAUGUAGGCCAGGCUGAAGACCUUGCCUGAAUCGCUG
RNAcentral lists this ribosomal RNA (265 nucleotides) under uncultured archaeon. Its description in RNAcentral is "partial 16S ribosomal RNA". It matches the Rfam family "Archaeal small subunit ribosomal RNA", at positions 716 to 982 of the family's 1478-position model. The record is from RNAcentral.